This 1533-nucleotide long non-coding RNA is filed under the name Sparus aurata (gilthead seabream). RNAcentral describes it as "lncRNA (ENSSAUG00010000057.1)". Lineage: Eukaryota; Metazoa; Chordata; Actinopteri; Spariformes; Sparidae. The record is from RNAcentral.
UACUGUACUGUAAUGUACUAAAUGCUCUGUGCUGAUGCUGUUUGUGUAACACUCAGAUGGCUGGCCAGUGCUGGGUGGCUGUAACACUCUGCCUGUUGCUGUUCGAUGGAAACAGUUUGGCAGCUGUGGACCAGAACCAACUUGCACCACUUGUAGAUGAGAUCUUGUACAGGUACGGACCAAGCUACAAGGGUAUAAGAGGAACCCCAAUGUUCAGCCUGGCAGUAACCAUCCCAUACAACAAAGGCAAGAAGAUAUAUGACAUCAAUCAACUUGACAAUUCAAGGAAAACAGUCGAGAGGAAGUUUCGUUAUUGUGAAGUGUACACCGGCACGAGGGUGGUUGCAGCCACAGUUCUGAGAUGGCCUAAUGUUGUGAAUCAGUGUCCUGGUGGACGUGUGCAAUGGCCUGAUGUUCUGACAAAAUGUCCUCGAGGGGUUAAGACCUGGGCUGACGUUAACAGACAGUGUCCUAAUGAAGUUUGGAAGGGUAGAGCAGAUCAUGCAGAGUACCGUACUCUGCAGCACAUUAACACCUUGGUCAAUCGUCUUAACAAAAAUGAUUUGUUGCUUUUCUACGUUCGUGCUUCCCCAUGUGAUAAAAGAUGUACAAACGAAGAAAAUAAUUUGAACAUUCUUGACAGCAUCAAAGAGAUUAAGAAAUGGAAAAACUACGCUGUUGUGUUUUCUGACAUAUUCCAGCCUCGUAGUGGUUAUGUCAUACCUGAAAAGAAUCUAAAGGGAGCCCUCGAGUGACUUGGGGGAUCAAUCGGUCUGAGCAACAUAUUCCGUUGUGAUAAACAGGAUAAUAACCCAGAAAGUGCUAUGCAGUGCACCAGCUGCUCUAGUGGUGGACAAGUUGCCCACAAUUGUUAUUCAAACAAUUCACCAGGAGGCAGCGGAGGAGGUGGCAGAAGAGGUGGCAAAGGCUGAGGAGGUGGAGGAGGAGGUGGUAGAGGCAGAGGAGGUGGAGGAGGAGGUGGCAGAAGAGGUGGCAAAGGCUGAGGAGGUGGAGGAGGAGAUGGUAGAGGCAGAGGAGGUGGAGGAGGAGGUGGCAGAAGAGGUGGCAAAGGCAGAGGAGGUGGAGGAGGAGAUGGUAGAGGCAGAGGAGGUGGAGGAGGAGGUGGCAGAAGCAGAGGAGGUGGCGGAGGAGGUUGGGGUCUUUGAGGAUUCGGCAGACGCACAGGAUGACGGGGUCUUGGGGGAUUUGGUAGGAGAUCAAGAUGGGGUCGUAGUUAAGUUUUGGGAAAGCUGUGAUUCAGGUGAAACAGAUUUGCUGGAACUUCAGCAGCUCCACAAAUCCACCUUGACUGCAACAAACUCCCUCGCUUUGAAACAAAAAACUUUACUAUAUUACUAUAUUAUUACUAUAUAGAUCAUGCAUAACUCUCAAGUAAUUUCUCAUACUGAUGCUAUGACCUUUUUUUUAUUUUAAAAAAUAAUUAAAAAAAAGAUUUUACUGUCCUCAGUAUUUACAGUACUGAUGUCACUGUACACAUCUCUUCAUGUCUGUUUAAUCUGAAUAAAGCUUCAC